UAAAAACCGAUCGAAGGGACAGAAAAGAAAAACACAAAUUUGUUGUUGCAAGCAACAACAAAGUAUAUAAAAAAAAUUCAACAGAAAAUAAAAAAAUGUUAAGCAUGAUUUUAGGCUUCAGAACGCUUGGCAUGGGAUUUUUCGAAACAAAAACGAAGAUGAGAACGAACUCUAAGAACUUAGCGAGCUAUUUUGUAAAAAAAUGACAAUCAAAAGUAAAUUUACCGUACUACAACAACACAAUCAUUGGCAUCCUCCUCCAAUGAACCUGAAAAAGAGCCAAAAAAAAACACACCAUAAAUUCCCAUUGGUUCCCAAAAUGGAAAAUGGGAUUCAAAUGUAUCCCCAUAAAUACUAUGAAUUUUUCAUGAUACAAUAAAUAAAUAACCUUCAUUUUCUUUUAGAUCGAAAUAAGAAGUUAAUAUCAAGUAUGCUCUUCCAUCUUCACCAGAAUCUACAUAUAAUAUCUUGUUCUGCAUACAAAGAAAGUAAAAGGAUUGAUCUGUAAUACAAAACCAAGAUUAGAAUUCAAAUGUAUGAAGGAAAUAAAGUAAGAAUAAUAUUUGAACAAUAUACAUUAUGUGAAAACAAUGUACCCACAAUGUCGCAAAACCUUUCAUUAACUCUUCUUCGUUAUUAACUCUUAGCCCGAAGAAAAAGAUCUGAAAAACCAAAAUACAUCAAUUAUUCAUCUCAAAUGAAUUAACAAAUGGAGUGGAAAAUUCACCCACAUUUAACCCAAACCACACUAAACAUGCAAAUACAUUCCCCUUCAAACAUAAAAACAAAUACAAACACUAAUGUGAACUACAGAUUCAUUCGGAAAAAUACAGAAGCACCAGGGCUACUUCUUUCCUCAGAGCCCAGGGUAUCAACGCGCAAUUCGUACACACAAACACAACAAAAAUACAUCGAUUUGUACAAAAU
This 927-nucleotide long non-coding RNA is filed under the name Erythranthe guttata (spotted monkey flower). RNAcentral's name for it is "long non-coding RNA (EGUT_LNC000403)". The record is from RNAcentral. Lineage: Eukaryota; Viridiplantae; Streptophyta; Magnoliopsida; Lamiales; Phrymaceae.